UUAUCCGGAUUUAUUGGGUUUAAAGGGAGCGUAGGCGGACGUUUAAGUCAGUUGUGAAAGUUUGCGGCUCAACCGUAAAAUUGCAGUUGAUACUGGGUGUCUUGAGUACAGUAGAGGCAGGCGGAAUUCGUGGUGUAGCGGUGAAAUGCUUAGAUAUCACGAAGAACUCCGAUUGCGAAGGCAGCUUGCUGGACUGUAACUGACGCUGAUGCUCGAAAGUGUGGGUAUCAAACAGGAUUAGAUACCCUGGUAGUCCACACAGUAAACGAUGAAUACUCGCUGUUUGCGAUAUACAGUAAGCGGCCAAGCGAAAGCGUUAAGUAUUCCACCUGGGGAGUACGCCGGCAACGGUGAAACUCAA
RNAcentral lists this ribosomal RNA (361 nucleotides) under uncultured bacterium. RNAcentral's name for it is "bacterial SSU rRNA". It matches the Rfam family "Bacterial small subunit ribosomal RNA", at positions 541 to 904 of the family's 1533-position model. The record is from RNAcentral.